This 275-nucleotide ribosomal RNA is filed under the name uncultured bacterium. RNAcentral's name for it is "partial 16S ribosomal RNA". It matches the Rfam family "Bacterial small subunit ribosomal RNA", at positions 338 to 630 of the family's 1533-position model. The record is from RNAcentral.
CCUACGGGUGGCUGCAGUUAGGAAUUUUGCGCAAUGGGGGAAACCCUGACGCAGCAACGCCGCGUGAGUGAUGAAGGCCUUCGGGUUGUAAAGCUCUUUUAGCAGGGAAGAUAAUGACGGUACCUGCAGAAAAAGCACCGGCUAACUCCGUGCCAGCAGCCGCGGUAAUACGGAGGGUGCAAGCGUUAUUCGGAAUGACUGGGCGUAAAGCGCACGUAGGCGGUUUGCUAAGUCUGAUGUGAAAUCCCUGGACUCAAUCCAGGAAGUGCAUUGGA